GUCUAUGGCCAUGCUACCCUGAACAAGCCAGAUCUCGUCUGACCUCAGAAGCUAAGCAUGGUCAGGCCUGGUUAGUACUUGGAUGGGAGACCACCUAGGAAGACCAGGUGCUGUGGGUG
RNAcentral lists this ribosomal RNA (119 nucleotides) under Pteropus alecto (black flying fox). The record is from RNAcentral. Lineage: Eukaryota; Metazoa; Chordata; Mammalia; Chiroptera; Pteropodidae.